Molecule: ribosomal RNA, 626 nt
Filed under: uncultured marine eukaryote
Lineage: Eukaryota
Description: SSU rRNA
Rfam family: Eukaryotic small subunit ribosomal RNA
Source: RNAcentral
GGUUAAAAAGCUCGUAGUUGGAUUUCUGUUGAGGUCGACCGGUGUACACUUCGUGUAUUAUUUGGUUCGGUCUCGGCAUCCUCUUGGGGAACGUUUCUGGACUUUAUUGGACAGGGCGAGAUUCAAGACUUUUACUUUGAGGAAAUUAGAGUGUUCACGGCAGGCAAGUGCUUUGAAUACAUUAGCAUGGAAUAAUAAUAUAGGACCUUCGUUCUAUUUUGUUGGUUUCCAGAACUUAGGUAAUGAUUAAUAGGGACAAUUGGGGGCAUUCGUAUUAACGCGUCAGAGGUGGAAUUCUUGGAUUGCGUUACGACGAACUACUGCGAAAGCAUUUGCCAAAGAUGUUUUCAUUGAUCAAGAACGAAAGUAUGGGGAUCGAAGACGCUUAGAUACCGUCGUAGUCUAUACCAUAAACUAUGCCAACUAGAGAUUGGAGGGGUUCUCCUAUGUGGCUCCUUCAGCAUCUUAUGAGAAAUCAAAGUUUUUGGGUUCCGGGGGGAGUAUGGUCGCAAGGCUGAAACUUAAAGGAAUUGACGGAAGGGCACCACCAGGAGUGGAGCCUGCGGCUUAAUUUGACUCAACACGGGAAAACUUACCAGGUCCAGACAUAGUAAGGAUUGACAGAU